GAGAUUCAAAAGUUAGGCGAUGGAUUUUACUUUGAGUCUUGACAAAAAGAUUGAAAAUGGACUUUGAACUUUGAACUUUAUUUAGAUGCUACCUGACCCGCUGAGUACCUCCAGCAUCUUAUAUGUCCAUACAUGGCCUCCUCUACUGCCAUGAUGAAGCCAAACUUCAGUUGGAGGAACAACAUCUCAUCUGCCGUCUGGGUAGUCUCCAGCCCCUUGGCAUACAUAUCCAAGCUAUGAAUACAUGGAAGUUACCCACACAAAAUGCUGGAGGAUCUCAUCAGGCCAGGCAGCAUCUAUGGAAAAGUGUAAACAGUCAACAUUUCAAGCCAAGCCGAGACCCUUCAUCAGGACUUAGAAGGAA
This is a long non-coding RNA of Hypanus sabinus (Atlantic stingray), 364 nucleotides long. RefSeq lists it as uncharacterized. NCBI's taxonomy places the organism in Eukaryota, Metazoa, Chordata, Chondrichthyes, Myliobatiformes, Dasyatidae. The record is from RefSeq and is a predicted model, not a curated record. The transcript is spliced from 3 exons.